RNAcentral lists this ribosomal RNA (496 nucleotides) under uncultured bacterium. RNAcentral's name for it is "partial 16S ribosomal RNA". It matches the Rfam family "Bacterial small subunit ribosomal RNA", at positions 28 to 506 of the family's 1533-position model. The record is from RNAcentral.
GAUGAACGCUGGCGGCGUGCCUAAUACAUGCAAGUCGAGCGAACGGACGAGAGGCUUGCUUCUCUGAUGUUAGCGGCGGACGGGUGAGUAACACGUGGAUAACCUACCUAUAAGACUGGGAUAACUUCGGGAAACCGGAGCUAAUACCGGAUAAUAUUUUGAACCGCAUGGUUCAAAAGUAAAAGACGGUCUUGCUGUCACUUAUAGAUGGAUCCGCGCUGCAUUAGCUAGUUGGUAAGGUAACGGCUUACCAAGGCAACGAUGCAUAGCCGACCUGAGAGGGUGAUCGGCCACACUGGAACUGAGACACGGUCCAGACUCCUACGGGAGGCAGCAGUAGGGAAUCUUCCGCAAUGGGCGAAAGCCUGACGGAGCAACGCCGCGUGAGUGAUGAAGGUCUUCGGAUCGUAAAACUCUGUUAUUAGGGAAGAACAUAUGUGUAAGUAACUGUGCACAUCUUGACGGUACCUAAGCAGAAAGCCACGGCUAACUACGU